RNAcentral lists this ribosomal RNA (382 nucleotides) under uncultured bacterium. RNAcentral describes it as "bacterial SSU rRNA". It matches the Rfam family "Bacterial small subunit ribosomal RNA", at positions 29 to 396 of the family's 1533-position model. The record is from RNAcentral.
AACGAACGCUGGCGGCGUGCCUAACACAUGCAAGUCGUGCGAGAAAGUUCCUUCGGGAGCGAGUAAAGCGGCGCACGGGUGAGUAACACGUAGGUAACCUGCCCCCCAGUCUGGAACAACUAGAGGAAACUCUAGCUAAUGCCGGAUGAGACCACGAUCCCUUCGGGGGUUGCGGCCAAAGAUGGCCUCUACUUGUAAGCUAUCGCUGAGGGAUGGGCCUGCGGCCAUUAGCUUGUUGGUGAGGUAACGGCUCACCAAGGCUGUGAUGGCUAGCUGGUCUGAGAGGAUGACCAGCCACACUGGGACUGAGACACGGCCCAGACUCCUACGGGAGGCAGCAGUGGGAAUAUUGCGCAAUGGGCGAAAGCCUGACGCAGCGACG